Molecule: ribosomal RNA, 253 nt
Filed under: uncultured bacterium
Lineage: Bacteria
Description: partial 16S ribosomal RNA
Rfam family: Bacterial small subunit ribosomal RNA
Source: RNAcentral
UACGAAGGGGGCUAGCGUUGUUCGGAAUAACUGGGCGUAAAGCGCACGUAGGCUGAUUUGUAAGUCAGGGGUGAAAUCCCGGGGCUCAACCUCGGAACUGCCUUUGAUACUGCAAGUCUGGAGUCCGGAAGAGGUGAGUGGAAUUCCUAGUGUAGAGGUUAAAUUCGUAGAUAUUAGGAAGAACACCAGUGGCGAACGCGGCUCCCUUGUCCGGUACUGACGCUGAGGUGCGAAAGCGUGGGGAGCAAUCAGG